GUCUCUGUGGCGCAAUCGGUUAGCGCGUUCAGCUGUUAACUGAAAGGUUGGUGGUUCAAGCCCACCCAGGGAUG
Danio rerio (zebrafish) is the source of this 74-nucleotide non-coding RNA. The record is from Rfam. NCBI's taxonomy places the organism in Eukaryota, Metazoa, Chordata, Actinopteri, Cypriniformes, Danionidae.